Molecule: ribosomal RNA, 201 nt
Filed under: Collinsella aerofaciens
Lineage: Bacteria; Bacillati; Actinomycetota; Coriobacteriia; Coriobacteriales; Coriobacteriaceae
Description: partial 23S ribosomal RNA
Rfam family: Bacterial large subunit ribosomal RNA
Source: RNAcentral
AAGGACGCGGCAAGCUGCGAUAAUCCCCGGCGAGGAGCACACAUCCUUCGACCCGGGGGUCUCCGAAUGGGCGAACCCAUGCACAGCAGUGUGCAUAUCCCCACCCCGAACACAUAGGGGCGGGGAGGACAACCCGGGGAACUGAAACAUCUAAGUACCCGGAGGAGAGGAAAUCAAUCUCGAGACUCCCCGAGUAGCGGC